AGAGUUUGAUCAUGGCUCAGAUUGAACGCUGGCGGCAGGCCUAACACAUGCAAGUCGAACGGUAACAGGAAGCAGCUUGCUGCUUCGCUGACGAGUGGCGGACGGGUGAGUAAUGUCUGGGAAGCUGCCUGAUGGAGGGGGAUAACUACUGGAAACGGUAGCUAAUACCGCAUAAUGUCGCAAGACCAAAGAGGGGGACCUUCGGGCCUCUUGCCAUCGGAUGUGCCCAGAUGGGAUUAGCUUGUUGGUGGGGUAACGGCUCACCAAGGCGACGAUCCCUAGCUGGUCUGAGAGGAUGACCAGCCACACUGGAACUGAGACACGGUCCAGACUCCUACGGGAGGCAGCAGUGGGGAAUAUUGCACAAUGGGCGCAAGCCUGAUGCAGCCAUGCCGCGUGUAUGAAGAAGGCCUUCGGGUUGUAAAGUACUUUCAGCGGGGAGGAAGGGAGUAAAGUUAAUACCUUUGCUCAUUGACGUUACCCGCAGAAGAAGCACCGGCUAACUCCGUGCCAGCAGCCGCGGUAAUACGGAGGGUGCAAGCGUUAAUCGGAAUUACUGGGCGUAAAGCGCACGCAGGCGGUUUGUUAAGUCAGAUGUGAAAUCCCCGGGCUCAACCUGGGAACUGCAUCUGAUACUGGCAAGCUUGAGUCUCGUAGAGGGGGGUAGAAUUCCAGGUGUAGCGGUGAAAUGCGUAGAGAUCUGGAGGAAUACCGGUGGCGAAGGCGGCCCCCUGGACGAAGACUGACGCUCAGGUGCGAAAGCGUGGGGAGCAGACAGGAUUAGAUACCCUGGUAGUCCACGCCGUAAACGAUGUCGACUUGGAGGUUGUGCCCUUGAGGCGUGGCUUCCGGAGCUAACGCGUUAAGUCGACCGCCUGGGGAGUACGGCCGCAAGGUUAAAACUCAAAUGAAUUGACGGGGGCCCGCACAAGCGGUGGAGCAUGUGGUUUAAUUCGAUGCAACGCGAAGAACCUUACCUGGUCUUGACAUCCACGGAAGUUUUCAGAGAUGAGAAUGUGCCUUCGGGAACCGUGAGACAGGUGCUGCAUGGCUGUCGUCAGCUCGUGUUGUGAAAUGUUGGGUUAAGUCCCGCAACGAGCGCAACCCUUAUCCUUUGUUGCCAGCGGUCCGGCCGGGAACUCAAAGGAGACUGCCAGUGAUAAACUGGAGGAAGGUGGGGAUGACGUCAAGUCAUCAUGGCCCUUACGACCAGGGCUACACGCGUGCUACAAUGGCGCAUACAAAGAGAAGCGACCUCGCGAGAGCAAGCGGACCUCAUAAAGUGCGUCGUAGUCCGGAUUGGAGUCUGCAACUCGACUCCAUGAAGUCGGAAUCGCUAGUAAUCGUGGAUCAGAAUGCCACGGUGAAUACGUUCCCGGGCCUUGUACACACCGCCCGUCACACCAUGGGAGUGGGUUGCAAAAGAAGUAGGUAGCUUAACCUUCGGGAGGGCGCUUACCACUUUGUGAUUCAUGACUGGGGUGAAGUCGAAACAAGGUAACCGUAGGGGAACCUGCGGUUG
This 1522-nucleotide ribosomal RNA is filed under the name metagenome. Its description in RNAcentral is "bacterial SSU rRNA". It matches the Rfam family "Bacterial small subunit ribosomal RNA". The record is from RNAcentral.